Molecule: transfer RNA, 60 nt
Filed under: Varecia variegata variegata
Lineage: Eukaryota; Metazoa; Chordata; Mammalia; Primates; Lemuridae
Description: tRNA-Ser
Source: RNAcentral
GAGAAAGUACUGCACGAACUGCUAACUCUGCAUCCCCUACAUAAAAGUAUGGCUUUCUCA